UGUAAACCCGAGGGAGACAGAUGGAGAGUGUGUGCAUGCUUUUUUCUGUCUCUCAGGCUCCCUUGAAGGGCAGGACGGCAUAAGUAGAUGACAGCAAAACCGUGAACACAGCAAUGCUGUUGCACAUGAUCUGAAACACAGCAGCUUACGGGUGAAUAUGGGAGAGGUCCACAUAGAAGAGCCCCAAUAGCAAGCAAGGACUCUCUGGGCAUUUCCACAGUGUUUCCAGGAGCGUAGCUGCAGACUUAACCUCGGCUUGAAGAGCCAAGGGUACUUUUCAAAGAACAUUGGUGCUGACUUCAGUGCCUCAGGAGGACCUGCAGUGAUUACUUCUUUCAGUCUCUACAUCCCUCAACACCCUGUCCUUUAUUUUAAACUGCACAGUAUCCUGCCCUGACCAGAUUCAGGAAACAGACCACUUUUUCCAUCCAGCUAAAGUCUCUGCCUGUAUCUGCCAUGUUUAUCUAAUCAAUAAAGCACCAAUAGAAAAGCAAAAUUUUCUAAGGCAGCCUGAGCAUUUUUCUUUUAACCAAAACAAAAACCCUGAAAUGCAUCAAUUUCCCAUUAGAACUGGAAAAUUUCUAGCAUCCUAUAAUACUGCUUUUGCAUUUCACUAUUCUGCUGGCAUUUUAGAUGCUUAAAAUGAAAAAUUAGCUCUCAGAAAGUAGGAUCUUCCUGAUUAGAAAAAUUUGUUGAAACUGUAAUGGAAAGAUCAGAACAACUUCAUUAGUCUUCAUUAAAUAAAAUAAAUGUUAUUUCCAUUCCUUUCACAUACAAUCAUAUAUUACAACUAUUAAUAUUGCAGAGAUGUUUCUUUUGUCCCAGAAUUUAAUGUAUAAAACUGCAAACCUCAUUGCAUGAAAAACAACUUACAAUCACCAGAAUGACACGCAGUUCAUCUUUUUUACGUUCAUUAAUUUUCUGUAAAUAGAACACAGUCGCUUUGCAUUGUUUGCACUAAUGGAGAGCUCAGAGCAGUUUACCCUGUUACUACUUAUCAUUUAUUUGGGUAAUAAUUUUAAAAAGCUUUUAAAUUAAAAUGAUAAAGAUAGUUAGGGGAAAAGAUACAGCCUUUUGGAAUUUUUCAAGUA
Molecule: long non-coding RNA, 1091 nt
Organism: Cygnus olor (mute swan)
Lineage: Eukaryota; Metazoa; Chordata; Aves; Anseriformes; Anatidae
Exons: 4
Source: RefSeq, a predicted model, not a curated record